Oncorhynchus tshawytscha (Chinook salmon) is the source of this 328-nucleotide long non-coding RNA. Lineage: Eukaryota; Metazoa; Chordata; Actinopteri; Salmoniformes; Salmonidae. The record is from Ensembl.
GAGGGAGAGAUGGAGGAGAGAUGGAGGAGAGAUGGAGGAGAGAUGAGGAGAGAUGAGGGAGAGAUGGAGGAGAGAUCAGGGAGAGAUGGAGGUGAGAUGGAGGUGAGAUGGAGGUGAGAUGAGGGAGGGAUGGAGGAGAGAUGGGGGAGAGAUGGGGGAGAGAUGAGGGAGAGAUGAGGGAGAGAUGGAGGUGAGAUGAGGGAGAGAUGGAGGAGAGAUGAGGGAGAGAUGGAGGUGAGAUGAGAGAGAGAUGGAGGUGAGAUGAGGGAGAGAUGGAGGAAGAUAUAGAGGAGAGAUGGAGGAAGAGAUGGAGGAGAGAUGGGGCAGA